GACGAACGCUGGCGGCGCGCCUAACACAUGCAAGUCGAACGAGCGAGAGAGAGCUUGCUUUCUCAAGCGAGUGGCGAACGGGUGAGUAACGCGUGAGGAACCUGCCUCAAAGAGGGGGACAACAGUUGGAAACGACUGCUAAUACCGCAUAAGCCCACAGGUCGGCAUCGACCAGAGGGAAAAGGAGCAAUCCGCUUUGAGAUGGCCUCGCGUCCGAUUAGCUAGUUGGUGAGGUAAUGGCCCACCAAGGCGACGAUCGGUAGCCGGACUGAGAGGUUGAACGGCCACAUUGGGACUGAGACACGGCCCAGACUCCUACGGGAGGCAGCAGUGGGGAAUAUUGCACAAUGGGGGAAACCCUGAUGCAGCGACGCCGCGUGGAGGAAGAAGGUCUUCGGAUUGUAAACUCCUGUUGUUGAGGAAGAUAAUGACGGUACUCAACAAGGAAGUG
This 451-nucleotide ribosomal RNA is filed under the name uncultured bacterium. Its description in RNAcentral is "bacterial SSU rRNA". It matches the Rfam family "Bacterial small subunit ribosomal RNA", at positions 28 to 492 of the family's 1533-position model. The record is from RNAcentral.